AGAUGAGAGCGAUGAAUGAGAAUAAUUUCCCUAUUGGUUUGAUUGGUUGAUAUGAUGUCCUAAAUACUUGAAUGAAUCUGAUCAUCC
This is a small nucleolar RNA of Lolium rigidum, 87 nucleotides long. RefSeq annotates it as small nucleolar RNA Z102/R77. The transcript has a single exon. The record is from RefSeq and is a predicted model, not a curated record. Lineage: Eukaryota; Viridiplantae; Streptophyta; Magnoliopsida; Poales; Poaceae.